Triticum aestivum (bread wheat) is the source of this 135-nucleotide non-coding RNA. The record is from Rfam. Lineage: Eukaryota; Viridiplantae; Streptophyta; Magnoliopsida; Poales; Poaceae.
UAAAUACUCCCUCCGUCCCAAGUUAGUUGUCUUAGAAUUUUUCUAGAUACAGAUAUCUAGACACAUUGUAGUGUUAUAGGUAGAUCCGUAUCUAACAAAUCUAAGACAACUAAUUUGGGACGGAGGUAAUAUGUA